UACGGAGGGUGCAAGCGUUAUCCGGAAUCACUGGGUUUAAAGGGUGCGUAGGCGGUGGCGUAAGUCAGUUGUGAAAUUCCCCGGCUUAACCGGCGGGACUGCGAUUGAUACUGCGUUACUUGAAUCAGGUUGAGGUAGGCGGAAUGUGACAUGUAGCGGUGAAAUGCUUAGAGAUCCGGAGGAACACCAGUGGCGAAGGCGACACGCUGGGCCGUACCUGACACUGAACCGCGACAGCAUGGGGAGCAAACAGG
This 254-nucleotide ribosomal RNA is filed under the name uncultured bacterium. Its description in RNAcentral is "partial 16S ribosomal RNA". It matches the Rfam family "Bacterial small subunit ribosomal RNA", at positions 524 to 776 of the family's 1533-position model. The record is from RNAcentral.